UAGAGUUUGAUCCUGGCUCAGAUUGAACGCUGGCGGUAUGCUUAACACAUGCAAGUCGAACGGUAACAGGCCUUCGGGCGCUGACGAGUGGCGGACGGGUGAGUAACGCGUAGGAAUCUGCCUCAUAGUGGGGGACAACGUGGGGAAACUCACGCUAAUACCGCAUACGCCCUACGGGGGAAAGCGGGGGAUCUUCGGACCUCGCGCUAUGAGAUGAGCCUGCGUUAGAUUAGCUAGUUGGUGAGGUAAUGGCUCACCAAGGCGACGAUCAGUAGCGGGUCUGAGAGGACGAUCAGCCACACUGGGACUGAGACACGGCCCAGACUCCUACGGGAGGCAGCAGUGGGGAAUAUUGGACAAUGGGCGCAAGCCUGAUCCAGCAAUACCGCGUGUGUGAAGAAGGCCCUAGGGUUGUAAAGCACUUUCAAUUGGGAGGAAAACCUGCCGGUCAAUACCCGGUAGCUUGACAUUACCUUUAGAAGAAGCACCGGCUAACUCCGUGCCAGCAGCCGCGGUAAUACGGAGGGUGCAAGCGUUAAUCGGAAUUACUGGGCGUAAAGCGUGCGUAGGCGGUUCGUUAAGUCAGAUGUGAAAGCCCCGGGCUUAACCUGGGAACUGCAUUUGAAACUGGCGGACUAGAGUUGAGUAGAGGGGAGUGGAAUUUCAGGUGUAGCGGUGAAAUGCGUAGAUAUCUGAAGGAACACCAGUGGCGAAGGCGACUCCCUGGACUCAAACUGACGCUGAGGUACGAAAGCGUGGGUAGCAAACAGGAUUAGAUACCCUGGUAGUCCACGCUGUAAACGAUGUCAACUAGCCGUUGGUCCUAUUUACAGGAUUAGUGGCGCAGCUAACGCAUUAAGUUGACCGCCUGGGGAGUACGGCCGCAAGGUUAAAACUCAAAGGAAUUGACGGA
Molecule: ribosomal RNA, 913 nt
Filed under: uncultured bacterium
Lineage: Bacteria
Description: bacterial SSU rRNA
Rfam family: Bacterial small subunit ribosomal RNA
Source: RNAcentral